Long non-coding RNA from Callithrix jacchus (white-tufted-ear marmoset), 2611 nucleotides. RefSeq lists it as uncharacterized. NCBI's taxonomy places the organism in Eukaryota, Metazoa, Chordata, Mammalia, Primates, Cebidae. The record is from RefSeq and is a predicted model, not a curated record.
UCCAUCACAGCUGCCCAGGACGAAGGCUCCAUGGCCCAGGCUCCCUCGCUGCUGCGUGGGGCAGGAGGCACAGUGGCCUGGGCAUGCAGGUGCAAGUGCAGUGGGUGACCUUGGGGACGUGUGCUUAGAGGAAGGUGGCUUGACCUCUGCUGGCUGAGGAGAGGAUGGGGUGGUAAGACAUAAGCAGCUAUUGUCAGCAGAAGGUGGCACCCUGAGAUCCCAGCAGGUGGGAGAACAUGGAGGGGCGAAAUUGCCACCUGCCCGGACUGCCCACCUCCUGACGUUUACACAUCUAAGCUCUUAUGACUUCAGCCUUUCUCUUCCUCGAAGUCCAGCCUAACUCUAACUACUAUGACCUCUGAAUCACUGACGUUGUUAAGCCACAGGGCCUGGAGGAGGAGAGGGACUCGGGAAGUCAGAGGGCACCACGCCGCCCCUCCUCUGCACUUGGUCCUUCACCAACCUGGGCCGACAUGUCGAUCAGCCUUGGGAGUGACAAUCUGCUCCCUUCAUCCGUCUUCAAGAAAUCCAGCAGGCACCCUACGAAAAGAGAAGCUGCAGUAACCUGAGCCCGGGGGAGAGAAGAAACCGCUCAGAAGACAGAGACCUUGCUUGGAGGCGAUCGCUUAACCAAAAUCAGGGAAGUCCCUGUGCGCCCUGAAGGGCCGAAGACAACUCUACUCGCCUUUCUAGAGGAUCUGGGACUUGCCAGGGACCUGGGUGCAGCUCCUGCCAAAGGCACCUUGUGUAACAGCCCCAGGCAACGGAGGACUCGUGGACCAGUCCAGGGAUAAAACGGAACAUGAGUUUUCUAUCCUGAUGAAAAGCUAGCGGCCAGUGAGGACCAGGCACCGUAAUAGGGUUCAGUGCAACACAUGCAUCAACGGCCCCAGACUGGAAACAACCCGAUGCCCACAGCAUGAGAAUGGCUAACUUGGCUCUGGAACGGUCACACCUGAGAUUCUGCAGCAAUGAACAUGAACAGGCUUACCAUCCCAGCCACGUGCAUGAAUCUGUUACAGGCUGAAUCAUGUGUGCUCCCAAUUCCUAUGUGGAAGUCCUAACCCUCAGUCCUGAGAAUGUGGCCAUAUGUGGAGACAGGGCUUUAAAGGGGUGAUUAAGGUAAAAUGGGUUGGUAUGGGUGGGCCCUAAUCCAAUGCGACAGGUGUCCUCAUAAGAAGAGAUUAGGACACAGACACGCACGGAGGGACGGCCACAUGAGGACGGACAUGGAGAAGUCGGCUGUCUGCAAGCCGAGGAGAGAGGCCUUGGGAGCAGCCAAUGCUGCCGACACCUCGGUCUUGGGCUCCAAGCCUCCAGAGCUGUGACAUAACAAACUUCUGUCAUGGAGCCACCCAGUCUGUGCUACUUUGUUACGGCAGCCCAGAAAACUAACCCAGAAUCUCACAAACACUGCUGAGGGGCAGGAGAAAGUCACACAGAAACAAACGCAGUCAUUCUAUCUGCAUAAAGCUAAGAAACAGACAAGACCUGGUUGCAAAACUACAGAAAAGUGAGGAAGGGUUUCCACCCGAGUCAGAACAGCGGGCAGCUCCUGGGGGUGGGGGCUGAAUCAGGAGGAGCCCGAGUGGGGAAGUGAGGGGGGCUCCUGGUGGUCUGAGAUGCUCUAUCUCUUGGCCGUGGUUACACAGGGAUUUGUGUAUUAUUACCCUAUACAACUUAGAAUUACGCACUCAUACUUACGCAAGCUUUAUAUGUGUUUUUGGUUUUAUGCCAAAAAACAUUAGGAAGGAAAGAAAGCAAAUGACAGAGAAAGUGAGAAAAUCCUGAGGGUAGUGGCAGCAAAGUUUUGCUCAGUUAUCAGUCGAUUUAAACUCGUGUCUAGACUGGCAUGGGCUCCCCACAAUCACUACCCUUACGUCAGGCACAGACCACUUCCUAACCUAUGCUACCUGCAGCCUCUAGCUGAGAUAAUCUCCCAGGAUUCUUUUGAGCUCCCCCAAUCCUUGAUUCCAAAGAAGCUGAUGGUUGAGGGCUCAGGGUUCCCCCUGUCCAGGCCCCACUGGCCUUGCUGUUCCUGCUGACCAGGCAGCAUGGCCAGUCUGGCAUGGGGCCAUCCCCGUCCACCCGGCUUCCCAUGCCCGGGUGGUUUCCACCCUGGACAGGGAGGACUGCUUUUGUGGACAGCCCCCACCUCAACUCCUGGGCAGGGCCUGAAUUGGAAGGAACACAGGCCCAGAAGCUGCUGGUUCUCCUGGCAGUCACCCCUUCCCCUCUCACUCCAGGGCCAGGCCUCUGGAGAGGGCCUCUCGGGAUGCGCAGGGCAGGGAGGGCGGGCAAGGCCACCACGCCUACCUUUGUUGGUUUCACUCUCUCUGAUGAGAAAGGAGCCGGCCUUGUUGACUGGAGCCAGAAGCUGCCUCUCAGCCUCCUUCCGGCUCAGCGAUCUAAAGAACCACCUGGAAAACAGCAGGAACUGGUGAACCUCAGAGCAGACCUGCUCCUCGGAGUAUUCCCACUGAGCCUCCCUCCUGAGCUGCCCACCCCCAAGAAAUAAAGUCUAGCAUUUCUGCUCCCAAGUCGUCCCUGAGAUGCUGCUCCCCACACUGGGAUGGAGUCAGCGCCCUCUGUCCCCCUGCCCUUUCCGUCC